This 8132-nucleotide long non-coding RNA is filed under the name Homo sapiens (human). RNAcentral's name for it is "HSALNT0257752". Lineage: Eukaryota; Metazoa; Chordata; Mammalia; Primates; Hominidae. The record is from RNAcentral.
CCGCCCUGUGACUAACGGCUGGAACCGCCUAAGACACCACCCCAGCCAGCAUGGCCGGCAGGAGCGCACCGCGCUGUCUCCCUCCAGGGAUCCGCACCGCCCUACAAUCCUGCUUUGUGCUGAGAUUGUAGUCCUGCAGGCGUACAACUAACAAGCUGGGUGCAGAUAAGAGACUACAGCUCCCCGCAUCCCAAGCAAAGGUCCCUCCUCUACGGAGCCCCUCCACGCGUCCACUGCGGUUCCGCCGUGCCAAGGGGAGCUUGGCUGUUCACGGGCCUCACCUGCUAGCGAGAAGAUAGCUUGGCCGGGCGGCUGAUCUCACCUUGUAAUUCUGACACUGUGUCUCCCGGGCUUGUCGGCUUCAUGACUUGUGCCCAAAGUUUGAUUUCUCGCAGACCAGGAGGACCCAUUGGACCCCCGGGCUGGCUGCAGGGCCCACACCUGGGUUAGACCUCGCACAGGGACGCUGCUGCCACUGUAAUAAAGCGUGCCUACACGCUUCUGAAACUGGUGUAGGAACAACCUCAGUUCUGUGAAAGGCGGACGCAGCAGGACAGAAUCUCCGUGGACAUCUGUCUGGAGGAGCAAUUUUACUGCGACAUUUUAAAGAAACAAAUUUAAUUGAUUUCCAAGGCUUGAGUGUGAUUAAAAAAAAAAAAUUAAAAGGUAAACUUCACCGUGCAGGAAGAAGCAUAGGAAAAGAGAGAGAGAAAAGAACAAAGAAAAAAAAGAAUAGCAAGUCUCUCCAAGUACUAUGGAAACAAACAGAAAGUGGAAUUAGGAAAAAAGAGAGGAAGAAGGUCUGAGUAGUCCAAGGGACACGGGAGGCCAGUUGGGAAGACCGCCCGGGCGAGACCAGGAAGAUCAAGGCCACAGUGAAUCACGAUCCCAUCCCUCUGCUCAACCUGAAUUGUACUGCUGCUGGCGAGAGAGAUCUGGUCGACCUUAGACAUGGCAAGGCGAGAGGUGAGGUCCAUCAGGUCGACCUUAGUCCAACGCUCACAGCCGACAUCUCUCUCAAAAUAAAUAAACAAAUCCAACAGUAAAUAUUUAACAAUGACAAAAAAAUUAAAGAACAAUACAUAAACAGGUUGCAGUUAACAAAAGUAAAAAGUAAUUAAUAUCACAAUUAAGAUCUUCUCCCCUGUCUCUCUGUUUGUCACACCCAGGCUGGAGUGUGUGACAAAAUAAAAAAUCUAAAAGAUCAACUUUAUUGUGCAGGAAGGAAUGUAGGAAAAUAGAGAAAAGAACAAAGAAGAAAAACAAAAGCAAAUCACUCUAAGUACUGUUACUGUGGAAACAAACUAAAAGUGGGUUAAAAAAAAAAAAAAACAGAGGCUGGGCGUGGUGGCUCAUGCCUGUAAUCCCAGCACUUUGGGAGGUCAAGGCAGGCAGAUCACGAGGUCAAGAAAUCAAGGCCAUCCUGGCCAACAUGGUGAAAUCCCGUCUCUACUAAAAAUACAAAAAUUAGCUGGGCUUGGUGGCGUAUGCCUGUAGUCCUAGCUACUCAGGAGGCUGAGGAAGGAGAAUCAUUUAAACCCAGGAGGUGGAGGUUGCAGUGAGCCAAUAUCAGCCACUGCACUCCAGCCUGGCAACAGAGUGAGACUCCAUCAAGAUCAACAACAACAAGAACAGCAAAAAACAGAUGAAGAAGGUCUGAGUAGUCUCAGGUACACGGGGGGCCCCCCAAGAUGGGAAGACCACCCGGGUAAAACCUGGGAGUCUGAGUUCUCAGUGAAUCGGGAAUGCAUCCCUCUGCUGGACCUGAAUGGUACUGUCACCAGCAAGAGGCAUCUGGUCAACCUUAGACGUGGCAAGCUGAUGGCUAAGUCCAACACUUGCAGCCGAAAUUGGUCUCAAAAUAAAUAGACAAAAAAUCCGAUGGUAAAUAUUGAACAAUAACGAAAAAUAAUAACAAUAUUAAGGACCAAUAAAUAAAUAAGUGGGAGUGAACAAAGGUAAAAGAUAAUUAUCACAAUGAAGAUUAUCACAAUGAAGAUUUUCUCCUCUCUCUCUCUUUCUCAAUUUGUCAUGCCAGGCUAGAGUGUGACAGAAAUCUAAAAGAUCAACUUCAUCGUGCAGGAAGGAGCAUAGAAAAAUAGAGAAAAGAAGAAAACAGCAAACCAUUCUGAGUACCGUGGAAACAAACUAAAAGUGGGCUUAGAAGGAAAACAGAGGAAGAAGGUCUGAGUAGUCCCAGGGACUCCAGAGGCCAAGAUGGGAAAGCCACCCAGGCGAGACAGGGGAGAUGGAAGCCACAGGGAAUCACUAUCACAUACCUCUGCUGGACCUGAAUGGUCCUGGCGCCAGCUAGAGCCAUCUGGUCGACCUUAGACAUGUCAAGGCAGGAGCCAUCUGAUCGACCUUAGACUUGGCAAGCUGGUGGCUAAGUCCAGUGCUCACUGCCGACAUCUGUCUCAAAAUAAACAAAAAGUCCAACAGUGAAUAUUUAACAAUAACAAAAAUAUAAUACCAAACAAUAUUAAAGACCAAUAAAUAAGUGGGAGUGAACAAAGGUAAAAGGUAACUAAUAUCACAAUUAAAAUAUUCUGCUAUCUCUCACUCUCUCUCUUCCCCUUUCCAUUUGUCACACCCAGGCUGGAAUGUGACAAAAAAAUAUAAAAGGUCAAUUUCAUCAUGCAGGAAUGAGUGUAGAAAAAGGGAGAAAAGAACAAAGAAGAAAAACAACAGCAAGUCUCUCUAAAACUUCAGUUAGUUUCACUGUAGAAAAAAAAAUUGAAAGUGGGGUUAGGAAAAAAAGGAAGGAGGAGGAUAAGUUCAGGUAGCCUGAGGGACUAGGGAAGCCAAGUGGGAAGACCACCUGGGUGACACUGGGAAGAUCGAGACCACAGUGAAUCAUGAUCACAUCCCUCUGCUGUACCUGAAUAGUACUUCCAAAGGCAGGAGCCAUCUGGUCAUCCUUAGUCAUGGCAAGGCGAGAGCCAUCUGGUUGACCUUAGAUAAGGUGAGAGCCAUCUGGUUGACCUUAGACUUGGCAAGCUGGCAGCUAAGUCCAAUCCUCUCAGCUGACAUCUUGGAGAGAGAGACAGACAGACAGACACAAACAGCGAGACAGGAGAAAAUCUUAAUUGUGUUAUUAAUUACUUUUCCAAAGAUAUAACUACAAACAAUAUUAAAGACAAAUAAAUGGGAGUGAACAAAGGUAACAGGUAAUUAAUAUCACAAUUAAAUUCUUCUAAUCUCUUUCUAUCUCUCACUCUCGAUUUCUCUCUGUCAACUUCAUCAAGCAGGAAGGAGCACAGGAAAAUAUAAAGAGAAAACAAGAAAAAAAUAGAAAGUCACUCUAAGGACUGUGGAAACAAACUGAAAGUAAGGUUAGGAAAAACAAAGGAAGGAUGUCGAAAUAGUCUGAGGGAAUCAGGAGGCCGAGAUCAUCAGAAGGCCACCCUGUAGAGACCUGGAAGACGCCCAGGGCACAGUGAAUCACGAUCCGAUCCCUCUGCUGGACCUGAAUGGUACUGCUGCUGCUGAGAGCCAUCCUCUCGACCCUAGACUUACCAAGCUGGUGGCUAAAUACAACCCUCGUGGGAAGAUCUGUCUCAAAAGAAAAAAAUCCAACAGGGAAUAUUUAACAGUAACAAAGAACUAACCAUAACAAUAUUAAAGACAAAUAAAUAAGUGGGAGUGAACAAAGGUGAAAGGUCAAUUAUAUCACAAUUAAGAUCUUCUCUCUCUUUCUCCAUUUGUCACAACCAGGCUGGAUUGUUCCAAAAAAAAAAAAUCUAGAAGGUCAAAUUCAUCAUGCAGGAAGGAGGGUAAGAAUAUAUAUAGAGAGAAAAGAACAGAGAAGAAAUACAACAGCAACUCACUGUAAGUACUGUAGAAACAAACUGAAAGUUGGGUUAGAAAAAAAAAAAGAAGAAGGUCCAAGUAGUCUGAAGGACUCGGGAGGCCAAGAUGGGAAGUCCACCCAGAUGACACCGGGGAGAUCGAGGCUGCAGAGAAUAAGGAUCACAUCCCUCUGCUGGACCUGAAUGGUACUGAUGCUGUUGAGAGCCAUCUGGUCCUCAGACAUGGGAAGGCAAGAGCCAUCUGUUCGACCUUAGACAUGGCAAGAUGAAAGCUAAGUCCAGUGCUCGCUGCCAACACGUUUCUCAAAAUAAAUAAACAAAAAUUUCAACAGUAAAUAUUCAACAAUAACAAAGAAAUAAUAACAACUUUAAAGACCAAUAAGUAAAUAAGUGAAAGUGAACAAAGGUAAUAGGUGAUUAAUAUCACAAUUAAGAUCUUCUAUCUCUCUACUUCUCUGUUACUCUCUAGCUGUCUCUGUUUGUCAAACCCAUGCUAGAGUGUGAUUAAAAGAAAUAUAAAAGUCAACUGCUUCCUGCAGGAAGGAGCAUAGGGACAUAACGAGAGAAAAGAACAAAGGAAAAAAAAAAAAAACAGCAAGUCACUCUAUGUAUGUGGAAACAAACUGAAAGUGGGGUUAGAGAAAAAAAAGAAGGUCCGAGUAGUCUGAGGGACUCAAGUGGCUGAGAUGGGAACACCAGCCGGGUGAGACUGGAGAGAUCAAGGUUACAGUGAAUCACAAUUACCUCCCUCUGCUGGACCUGAACGGUAUUACCGGAGGCAAGAGCCAUCUGGUCGACCUUAGACAUGGCAAGGCAAAAGUCCUCUGGUUGACCUUGGUCCAAUGCUCGUGGCUGACAUCUCUCUCAAAAUAAGUAAGCAGAAAAUCCACCAGUGAAUAUUUAACAAUAAAAAAAGAUAACAUUGUGUCAAUAAAUAGGAGUGAACAAAGGUGAAAAGUAAUCGAUAACACAAUUAAGAUGUUCUCCUCUCUCUCUCUCUCUCUGUUUGUAACACCCAGACUGGAGUGGGUUCAUAUUUAUCAUGCUGGAAGGAGUGUAGAAAAAUAGAGGAAUGAAGAAGGAAAACAACGCAAGUCAUUCUAUGUACUGUGGAAACAAACUGACAGUGGGUUUAGAAAAAAACAACAGAGGAAGAAGGUCUGAGUAGUCCCAGGUAAUUGGGAAACCGAGAAGGGAAGACCACUCGGGUGAGACCAGGGAGAUCGAAGCCACAGUAAAUCACGAUCACAUCCCUCUGCUGGACCUGAACGGUACUGCCGCCUGCAAGAGCCAUCUGGUCGACCUUAGACAUGACAAGGCGAGAACCAUCUGGUCAACCUUAGACAUGGCACUCUUGUGGCUAAGUCCAACUCUAGUUGCUGAAAUACGUCUCAAAAAAACAAAAACAAUCCAACAGUAAAUGUUUUACAAAAACAAAAAAAUAAACAAUAUUAAAGAACAAUGUAUAAAUAAGUGGGAGUGAACCAAGGUAAAAGGUAAUUAAUAUCACCAUUAAGAUCUCCUCUCUUUCUCUUUUUCUCUCCAUUUGUGAUACCCAGGCUGGAGUGUGACAAAGGAAAAUCUAAAAGGUCAACUUCAUUUACAGGAAAGAGCAUAGGAAAACAGACAAAAGAACAAAGAAGAAAAACAAUAGCAAGUCACUCUAAGUACUGUGGAAAUAAACUAAAUGUCAGGUUAGGAAUAGAACAGUGAAAGAAGGUCCCAGUAGUCCCAAGGACUCGGGAGGCUGAGACACGAAGACUGCCCAGGUGAGACUACAGAGACUGAAGUUGCAGUGAAUCAUCACAUCCUGCUACUGGACUUGAACAGUACUGCUGCUGAUGAGAGCCAUCUGGGCGACCUUCGACAUGGCAAGGUGCGAGCCAUCUGAUCAGCCUUAGACAUGGCAAGGCAAGAGCCAUCUGGUCAACCUUAGAAGUGACAAGGGACAGCCACCUGGUCGACCUUUGACAUGGCAGGAUGACAGCCAUCUGGUCGACCUUAGAGAUGGGAAUGCAAGAGGCUUCAGGUCCACCUUCAACAUGGUAAGGCUAAAGCCAUCUUGUCCAGCUUAGACAUGGCAAGGCAAGAGCCAUAUGGUCCACCUUAGUCAUGGGAAGGCAAGAGCCAUCUUGUUGACCAUAGACAUGGUAAGGUGGGAGCCAUCAAGUCUGCCUCAGACAUAGCAAGGUGAGAACCAUCUGGUCAACCUCAGACAUGGGAAAGUGAGAGCCAUCUGAUCUACUUCAGACAUGGCAAGGCAAGAGGCAUCUUGACCUCAGACAUGGCAAGGAAAGAGCCAUCCGGUCGACUUUAGAGAUGGAAAUGCGAAAAGGGUUUGGGUCCACCUUAAGCAUGGAAAGGCAAGAGGCAUCUGGUCUAGUUUAGGCAUGGCAAGGCAAGAGACAUAUGGUUUACCUUAGUCAUGGGAAGGUGAGAGCCAUCUGGUCGACCAUAGACAUGGCAAGGUGGGAACCAUCAAGUCCACUUCAGACAUGGCAAGGUGAAAGCCAUCUUGGUCAACCUUAGACAUAGGAAGUUGAGAGCCACAUGGUCUACUUAAGGCAUGGCAAGGCAACAAGCAUCUGGUCAACCUCAAACAUGGCAAGGCAAGAGCCAUCUGGUCAACAUUAGAGAUGGUAAUGCAAGAGGCUUCAGAUCCAUCUUAGACAUGGUAAGGCAAGAAGCAUCUCAUCUAGCUUAGACAUGGCAAAUCAAGAGCCAUGUGGUCCACCUUAGUCAUGGGAAGGUGAGAGCCAUCUCGUUGACCAUAGACAGGGCAAGGUGGGAGCCAUCAAGUCCACCUCAGACAUGGCAAGGCGAGAGCCAUCUAGUCUGCCUCAGACAUGGCAAGGUGAGAGCCAUCUGGUUAACUUUAGACAUGGGAAGGAGAGCCAACUGGUUGGCCUCAGACAUGGAAAGGCUAGAGCCAUCCAGUCGACCUCAGAAAUGGGAAAGAGAGAGCCAUCUGGACAACCUUAAACAUGACAAAAUGAGAGCCAUCUGGUAGACUUUAGACAUAGAAUGGCAAGAGCCAUCUGGUCAAUCGUAGAUGUGGCAAGGUGAGAGCCAUCUGAUUGACCUAGACAUGGCAAGGUGAGAGACAUCUGGUCGACUGAAGACAAGGAAAAAUGAAAGCCAUCUGGUUGAGCUUAGACAUGGCAAGGCAAGAGUCAUCUGGCCGACCUUAGACAUGGAAAAAGAAGAGCCAUCUGUUUGACCUUAGACAUGGCAAGGCAAGAUCCAUCUGGUCAACCUUAGACAUGGCAAGGUGAGAGCCAUCUUGUUGAACUCACUCGAAGAGGAGACCCAUCUGGUCAACCUCAGACAUGGCAAGGUGAGAGCCAUCUGAUCGACCUUAGACAUGGCAAGGUGAGAGCCAUCUGGUCGACCUUAGAUAUGGCAAGGUGAGAAUCAUCUGGUCAAUCUUAAACAUGGCAAGGUGAGAUCCAACUUGACCUUAGAUAUGAUGAGGUGAGAACCAACUGUUCAAUCUUAGACAUGGCUAGGCAAGUGCCAUCUGGUCCACCUUAGAUAUGGCAAGGCGAGAGCCAUCUGGUCGACCUUAGACAUGGCAAGGUGAGAGCUGUCUGUUCAUCUUAGACAUGACAAGCUGGCAGCUAAAUGCGAUGCAUGCAGUCGACAUCCAUCUCAAAAUAAAUGAACCAACAGUAAAUAUAUAACAAUAACAAGGAAAUAAUAGUGAACAACCCUAAAGACCAAAUAAUUAAGUAGGAGUGUACAAUAAUAAAAGGUAAUUAAUGUCGCAAUUUAAAAAAACUCCUCUCUCUCUCUGUCUCUCUCUCUAUUUGUCACACACAGGGUGAAGUGUAACCAAAAAAAAAAAAAAAAUCCAAAGGUCAAACUCAGUUUGCAGGAAGGAGCAUAGGAGAAUAAAGGAUGGAACAAAGAAGAAAAAGAACAGCAAGUUACUCUGAGUAUUGUGGAAACAAACUGAAAUUAGAGUGAGAGAGAGAGAGAAAAAAAAAGAAGGUCCGAGCAAUCUCAGAUAUAUGAGAGGCCAAGAUGGGAAGAUCACUUGGGUAAGACUGGGAAGAUUGAGUCUGCAGUGAGUCACAGUCGCAUCAUUCUGCUGGAUUUGAAUGGUACUGCUUCUGGCCCAAGUUGUCUGGGCAACCUUAGACAUGGCUGGAAACACUCUUUUUGUAGAACAUACAAAUGGACAUUUCUAAGCACAUUGAGGCCUAUAAUGAAAAAUCAAAUAUCCCACAAUGAAAACUAGAAGGAAGCUAUCUGUGAUAAUGCUUUGUGGUGUAUGGAUUCAUCUCACUGACUGAAACCUGAGUUUUGAUUCACCAG